GUGGGGAAUAUUGGGCAAUGGGGGCAACCCUGACCCAGCGACGCCGCGUGAGGGAAGAAGGCCUUAGGGUCGUAAACCUCUGUUGUGUGGGAAGAAGGAAGUGACGGUAUCACACGAGGAAGUCCCGGCUAACUACGUGCCAGCAGCCGCGGUAAUACGUAGUGGACGAGCGUUGUCCGGAAUUACUGUGCGUAAAGGGCGCGUCGGCGGUCAUUUAAGUCAGCUGUGAAGUGGUCCGGCUCAACCGGAUCUUGCGGUUGAAAAUGGAUGACUGGAGUGCUGGAGAGGGAAGUGGAAUUCACAGUGUAGCGGUGAAAUGCGGAGAUAUUGGGAAGAACACCGGUGGCGAAAGCGACUUGCUGGCCAGCAACUGACGCUGAGGCGCGAAAGACAGGGGAGCAAACGGGAUUAGAAACCCUGGUAGUCC
RNAcentral lists this ribosomal RNA (427 nucleotides) under uncultured bacterium. Its description in RNAcentral is "partial 16S ribosomal RNA". It matches the Rfam family "Bacterial small subunit ribosomal RNA", at positions 354 to 796 of the family's 1533-position model. The record is from RNAcentral.